Thamnophis sirtalis is the source of this 687-nucleotide non-coding RNA. The record is from RefSeq and is a predicted model, not a curated record. NCBI's taxonomy places the organism in Eukaryota, Metazoa, Chordata, Lepidosauria, Squamata, Natricidae.
CCAAGCGCAGAGAUCACCAGGGACCGUUCAUAUAUUUUACCCUAUCACGUUCCAGAAUUUGGGCUUUAUUUCUCUCAGAUUAACCGGGCGUGCCCUGAGCAUUUCCUCCUGGGACUCUUUGAGAGGAGGCACUACUUUUAGCUUGCAUAUUUUAAUGAAAGUACAGAGCAUUCCAUUCCUUGGUCCUUCUCUGUAAUAUCCGAGGCAUUUUUGGCAGCGACGCGGGAACAAUAUGGGCCUGUGUUGUUUCAUCCAGGUGAUUUAUCUUUAAUGUAGCCUUCGCAUUGUUGCUUUUUAAUCGUUUAUAAUUUGGAAGGGCAGAGUUUAAAAGAGUGGAGACUAAAAUUCUAGUCCUCAAGAUUUGUCGACGCCAACAAAACACUCGUCUUUGCCGUUUCAGGAUGUGCGAAGGGGAGAAAAGGAAGCUAGUCAUCCCUUCGGAGCUGGGUUAUGGAGAUCGGGGAGCACCGCCCAAAAUCCCAGGCGGUGCCACGCUCAUCUUUGAAGUUGAACUGCUGAAGAUUGAGCGUCGCCAAGAACUAUAGCGGCGCGUCUCGUCCAAGGAAGAGGGGCUCGCGGGGUAGGGGGCCGCACGCGGAAAAACGGGCCGGACGGGCCGGAGAAGGAGCUGGAAAAGGGGUUUGUCACUCCUUAAAUGGGCCAAAUAAAUUUUAAAAAAAAAGCACA